AUUGAACGCUGGCGGCAGGCCUAACACAUGCAAGUCGAACGAGUUGCGGACGGGUGAGUAAUGUAUGGGAAACUGCCUGAUGGAGGGGGAUAACUACUGGAAACGGUAGCUAAUACCGCAUACCAUCGGAUGUGCCCAGAUGGGAUUAGCUAGUGGGUGGGGUAACGGCUCACCAAGGCGAAGAUCCCUAGCUGGUCUGAGAGGAUGACCAGCAACACUGGAGCUGAGACACGGUCCAGACUCCUACGGUAGGCAGCAGUGGGGAAUAUUGCACAAUGGGCGCAAGCCUGAUGCAGCCAGGCCGCGUGUAUGAAGAAGGCCUUCGGGUUGUAAAGUACUUUCAGCGGGGAGGCGUUACCCGCAGAAGAAGCACCGGCUAACUCCGUGCCAGCCGCCGCGGUAAUAC
Molecule: ribosomal RNA, 406 nt
Filed under: uncultured bacterium
Lineage: Bacteria
Description: partial 16S ribosomal RNA
Rfam family: Bacterial small subunit ribosomal RNA
Source: RNAcentral